This 478-nucleotide ribosomal RNA is filed under the name uncultured bacterium. RNAcentral's name for it is "partial 16S ribosomal RNA". It matches the Rfam family "Bacterial small subunit ribosomal RNA", at positions 28 to 507 of the family's 1533-position model. The record is from RNAcentral.
GAUGAACGCUGGCGGCGUGCUUAACACAUGCAAGUCGAACGAGAAGUGAAGACGGAACCCUUCGGGCGGAAGGCUUUAUUUCGAGUGGCGGACGGGUGAGUAACGCGUGGGUAACCUGCCUCAUACAGGGGGAUAACAGUUGGAAACGACUGUUAAUACCGCAUAAGACCACAGCACCGCAUGGUGCGGGGGUAAAAACUCCGGUGGUAUGAGAUGGACCCGCGUUCGAUUAGCCAGUUGGCGGGGUAACGGCCCACCAAAGCGACGAUCGAUAGCCGAUCUGAGAGGAUGACCGGCCACAUUGGGACUGAGACACGGCCCAAACUCCUACGGGAGGCAGCAGUGGGGAAUAUUGCACAAUGGGGGAAACCCUGAUGCAGCGACGCCGCGUGAGUGAAGAAGUAUUUCGGUAUGUAAAGCUUUAUCAGCAGGGAAGAAAAUGACGGUACCUGAGUAAGAAGCCCCGGCUAACUACGUG